RNAcentral lists this ribosomal RNA (253 nucleotides) under uncultured bacterium. RNAcentral's name for it is "partial 16S ribosomal RNA". It matches the Rfam family "Bacterial small subunit ribosomal RNA", at positions 524 to 776 of the family's 1533-position model. The record is from RNAcentral.
GACAGAGGGUGCAAACGUUGCUCGGAAUUACUGGGCGUAAAGCGCGUGUAGGCGGACUGACAAGUCGGACGUGAAAGCCCAGGGCUCAACCCUGGAACUGCCUUUGAUACUGCUAGUCUAGAGAUCGAGAGAGGCGAGUGGAAUUCCGAGUGUAGAGGUGAAAUUCGUAGAUAUUCGGAGGAACACCAGUGGCGAAGGCGGCUCGCUGGCUCGAUACUGACGCUGAGGUGCGAAAGCGUGGGGAGCAAACAGG